CCCUGCGCCCGCUCCCGCCUCCCCCGCUGCUGGGGUCUCCUCGGCACUCGCUGCUCCAGACUCGGGGUGAAGCUCUUGCGUGCGGGAGCCCAGUUUCUUCAGGAACCACCCGGAGCAAGAGGGAGGCUCUUUCACCCAACAUUAUGUGGGCGAGGCGAUCCACAGGCUUGGCUAUGGCCAGAGGCUGGUGUUUUCACUGCGUAGAAAAUCCCACUCAAUGCCAAGGUGCGAGGCUGGUGCCCUUAGCUUGCUGUGGUGGAUGCCCAGGAGCCAGUAAGUGUCCCCCCUUACAGCUUUAGGCCCCCCCGGCAAUGGAGUCCCAAUCAACACGAGUGGCCCUGGGCACGUGGGACAAUUGAGCCAGAUGCCAAGGCUAGCCUUCCCUGGGUCCUGCUUCUCUUCCACCCUAGUCUGUCAUUUCUUCAUUUCUCGGUUCUAUCGGAGUCCUCUCACCAUCCACGCUCCCCCAGCCAGUCUCGGGGCAAACCCAGGACUGACUUCUAACAUGAAGGCUUGACCACGAUCAACCCUACAGUGAUACACGAGGCCGUGUGACUCCUCUGUAAUUGCUCUAACUAAACUUACCCUGUUUUCAAAGUCAGCCUUGUAUGGUGACAACUGGAACCUGUGAUUUCUGCCAACAACAAUCCACAUUUUUGGAGUUUGAGAUUUUUUUCCCCUAAGCCUAUGGAGAAAAAACUGCAGUUGUGCAAAAUAUUCCUCCUGGCAUAACUAAGAAAACUGCCCGUGUCUGCAUGUUGUGUCUGCAGGGCCUUACCUCGUGCCUGUCUUGGCAUCUAAAAGGCUGUUGACAUUCUGAAUGGAGAGAUAUGAUAAAACUAG
Long non-coding RNA from Talpa occidentalis (Iberian mole), 843 nucleotides. RefSeq lists it as uncharacterized. Lineage: Eukaryota; Metazoa; Chordata; Mammalia; Eulipotyphla; Talpidae. The record is from RefSeq and is a predicted model, not a curated record. The transcript is spliced from 4 exons.